CAAAAACAGCUCUUUUAGAAUUUUUCUGGCUUUCUGAUUUUGAUCAGAAAACCUAA
Mus musculus (house mouse) is the source of this 56-nucleotide non-coding RNA. The record is from Rfam. Lineage: Eukaryota; Metazoa; Chordata; Mammalia; Rodentia; Muridae.